Molecule: ribosomal RNA, 500 nt
Filed under: uncultured Glomeromycotina
Lineage: Eukaryota; Fungi; Glomeromycota
Description: partial small subunit ribosomal RNA
Rfam family: Eukaryotic small subunit ribosomal RNA
Source: RNAcentral
CCAAUAGCGUAUAUUAAAGUUGUUGCAGUUAAAAAGCUCGUAGUUGAAUUUCGGGAUCAAUAUAUCGGUCGUGCCUCCGGUAUGCACUGGUAUUAUUGAUUUCUACCUUCUGACGAACUGUGAUGUCAUUAAUUUGGUGUCAUGGGGAAUCAGGACUGUUACUUUGAAAAAAUUAGAGUGUUUAAAGCAGGCACACGCUUGAAUACAUUAGCAUGGAAUAAUGAAAUAGGACGUUUGACCCUAUUUUGUUGGUUUCUAGGAUCGACGUAAUGAUUAAUAGGGAUAGUUGGGGGCAUUAGUAUUCAAUUGUCAGAGGUGAAAUUCUUGGAUUUAUUGAAGACUAACUACUGCGAAAGCAUUUGCCAAGGAUGUUUUCAUUAAUCAAGAACGAAAGUUAGGGGAUCGAAGACGAUCAGAUACCGUCGUAGUCUUAACCAUAAACUAUGCCGACUAGGGAUCGGAUGAUGUUAAUUUUUUAAUGACUCAUUCGGCGCCUUACG